CCUACGGGAGGCAGCAGUGAGGAAUAUUGGUCAAUGGGCGUAAGCCUGAACCAGCCAAGCCGCGUGAGGGAUGAAGGUUCUAUGGAUCGUAAACCUCUUUUAUAAGGGAAUAAAGUGCGGGACGUGUCCCGUUUUGUAUGUACCUUAUGAAUAAGGAUCGGCUAACUCCGUGCCAGCAGCCGCGGUAAUACGGAGGAUCCGAGCGUUAUCCGGAUUUAUUGGGUUUAAAGGGUGCGUAGGCGGCCUUUUAAGUCAGCGGUGAAAGUCUGUGGCUCAACCAUAGAAUUGCUGUUGAAACUGGGAGGCUUGAGUAUGUUAGAGGCAGGCGGAAUGCGUGGUGUAGCGGUGAAAUGCGUAGAUAUCACGCAGAACCCCGAUUGCGAAGGCAGCCUGCCAAGCCAUGACUGACGCUGAUGCACGAAAGCGUGGGGAGCAAACAGGAUUAGAUACCCGGGUAGUC
Molecule: ribosomal RNA, 460 nt
Filed under: uncultured bacterium
Lineage: Bacteria
Description: partial 16S ribosomal RNA
Rfam family: Bacterial small subunit ribosomal RNA
Source: RNAcentral